CAGCCUGCGCGGAAUGACAACAGCAGCAGCCCGCUGACAGUGGAGCCGAUCCCGGAACGAGCCCUGGCGGCUCUCCGACAGCAGAAGAUGAUGAUGCUCUGACCUGGAAGCCGUCCAUCCCUCCUGCCUCUCGCUCAGACAUCCGUCUGCUCUGUUUCUCUCUGAGCCGGUCAGCCGUAAGUGGAUUAGCGUCCGCCGCCUCCCAUAGGAGGAUCACGGAGAUGUGACCUCACCACGAGUGACCCUCGGCGUCCCCAUAGCGACGCCGUGGCAACGCAACACUAUGGCAACGGAGUGGAGCAACCUCUGAUUCAACACUUUGCAUCUGCUUUUCAUGUUCCCGCCUGCAGCGGCUUCCUGGGAGCUGCAGAGAUGAAAAAUAUGAAUCAUUAGAAAGUGAUUUGAUCUCCUGAACUGCUUCAAGAAAAAUAAAUCUUUAAGUGACUCA
Molecule: long non-coding RNA, 448 nt
Organism: Xiphophorus maculatus (southern platyfish)
Lineage: Eukaryota; Metazoa; Chordata; Actinopteri; Cyprinodontiformes; Poeciliidae
Exons: 2
Source: RefSeq, a predicted model, not a curated record